GGCUCUGUAGUGAAGUUCAUGGUGAGUUGCAAGCUCAUCGAUGUACAUUGAUUGUGUGCCGGGGCCU
RNAcentral lists this transfer RNA (67 nucleotides) under Malurus melanocephalus (red-backed fairy wren). RNAcentral describes it as "tRNA-Cys". Lineage: Eukaryota; Metazoa; Chordata; Aves; Passeriformes; Maluridae. The record is from RNAcentral.